Molecule: long non-coding RNA, 3558 nt
Organism: Equus asinus (donkey)
Lineage: Eukaryota; Metazoa; Chordata; Mammalia; Perissodactyla; Equidae
Source: Ensembl
UGCACUUUGGGAAUUUGCAGUAGAAUAUAACAGUUCCUACAAAUUAGCACGUUAUCCGUCCCCAAAACAUCACAUACUGAGGCCUGCUACGUGCAAAGCAUUUCGGUGCUAGGAGGGCAUCUUUCCCGUGGAAGUUUCAUCUCCUGGUUUCAGGAAGAAAAGAGGAGGUCAGAGAACUCUUCUUGCACCUGCUGUAUUUCAAGUGCCUUGAAACAGCCCUUCUGCCAAAGUGGACUAUUUUGGGGUGGUAUUUUCUGCUACUCUUCAGCCUCAAUGUGAAUUCUAGGCCAUAAGAACCCUAUGGAAAGGGGGAGGAGGGUUCUCCCACUUCCCUGACAAGAUACUACAAAACUGAAGCUGGACCGGAAGGGGUUGGCUGGGGACCGGUCAUGGAAGACUUUUGAUUCGCUCUAAAAGCGGGAAUUAGAAUUGUGGACACCAACAAUUGCAUCCAUCUAUCGUCAGUUUGGAUUCCUUCUCUGAAUUUAUGAAUGCACUGGAAUGUUUUCCUGAGUCACACAUUGGAGUAAGCUAUCCAACGCAGUUGUGUGGAAACUUUCAAAGUGGGAUCCAAAGAAGACCCCCCAACCGAUGACUCUGAGGCCAGUGAGCAAACAGGUGCUGGUACCCACAGAGCCCACUGAGCUCACUGCUUUCUCACUGACCCUGGAAUUUGAGGGAUUUUCAAUGCCUGUCGGUAGCCACUCACAUGCCAAAUGAUACCCAUCAGGAUCAGACAGCUGGAUGAAAUGAAUAAUAACCGCACACAUGAUGAAGACGAUGACUACAUGGCCCUCUGGCCUGACGACUCAACUCGUGGAAACAGCAAAUAACAUGAUUCUUUGGCCUGAUUACAUCAAUGUGAGGAAGAUUGGUCCUGAGCUAACAUCUGUUGACAACCUUCCACUUUUUGCUUGAGGAAGAUUGCUGCUGGGCUAACAUCUGUGUCAAUCUUCCUCUAUUUUGUAUGUGGGACACUGCCAAAGCAUGGCUUGAUGAGAGGAAUCUAGGAACGACUUCAAGGCAUAAGUAACGAGGCACGGGAAAAGAAAGAAGCCCAACAUUACGGAAAAAAUGGAUUUGGCGCUAUAAGAUCUGAAGUAAAGUCUGCUUAUUCUUUUCCGAUACCGGGAGGGGCUAGUUGUAUCUUCUCCACACGUCUUUCCACAUCUGUAAAGAAGUUCAUAAAGUGUCCCCGAGACUUCCAGUUUUAUGACUCAAGAAUGGCAGCCUCGUGACAAGAUGAAGCACCCAUGUCAUUUAAGAUUUCUGGGCUUGUUAACUUCUCACCAUCUGUUUAGCGUUACUGGACUUAAGUUGGAAAAAAAAAAAAGAAGGAAAAUGACGGAUUUGGCUUCCAGUUUACUUUGUCCUUUGUUCCAUCUCUUCAGGAGUUCAAUUUGAAUGUUUUACAACGUAAACACUGUGUUGAAAAUACAAAGCAAAACUCUGAAUCCAACAAAAUUUCCUUUGUUGUUAAAUAACAUUUGGAGUGGUAACACUGUAAAAAAAUAUUUUGAUACUGCUUCUAGAAUACACCAUCUUAGAGUCUGACAGGACUCCGGAAACUGUCUAGUCAGUGAGUUUCCGGUGCUGCCCUAAAGAGCCUAGCGUCCUGCAGGCCUGUGGGGCCACGGAAUGGGGGACAAGGGAGGACUGAGAGCACGGGAGGCCCCAGGCCCCCUCCCACGGCUUCUUCAACUUGUUUGGGCUUCAACUGGGCUUCUCUGUGAGAUUUCAUUUGCAAAGAGUGCCAUGGCUAUGAGUAAAUAAACAUACAGAUAGAUGGAUAGAGAGUUAAAAACACUGAGUCCACAUUCUUUGUUUUACAGAUGAUGAAAUAGCAGUUCAGAGAAGGUAGUGACUUGCUUAUUGUUGCCAAAGCAAAUUGAAAACCAGGGACUAAAAUUAAACCUUUUUCUCUAAUACUAUUUCUCCAUUAGAGACAGGAUUUUGUUUUUCUCCUGACAAAGGGAACUCAGGCAUUGUGUUAAGUAUUGGAACUAAAAUUAUAAAUAAACAGUGGUCUCAGCCCUCACGGGCCUUUGACUUUAAGGGAUCACCUAGGAGAAAGUUUUUUUUUUUUUUGGUGAGGAAGAUUGGCUCUGAGCUAACAUCUGUGCCAUUCUUCCUCUACUUUGUAUGUGAGGUGCCACCUCAGUAUGGCUUGAUGAGUGUUGUGUAGGUCCAUGCCCUGGAUCCAAACCUGUGAACCCUGGGCCACUGAAAUGGAGCAUGUGAACUUAACCACUAUGCCACUGGGCCAGCCCCAAGAAAGUUUUAAGGGGGAUGGAGCUAUGAGUAAUUUUUAAUGCAGUCAAUAGAACCAGGAAGAUAAGAACAAAAUAACAAUAACCAAGGAGAUUAAAAGAAUAAAAAGGAAAAGGACUCACAUUUUUAGAGCAGGUGAAAUUUUUUUUUUUUUUUUUUCCUGAGGAAGAUUCACCCGGAGCUAACAUCUGCUGCCAAUCUUCCUCUUUUUGUAUGAGAGUCACUGCCAAAACAUGGCCACUGACAGAUUAAUGGUGUAGAUCCAUGUCUGGGAACCAAACCCAGGCCACCAAACUGGAGCAUGCCAAACUUAACCACUAGGCCACCAAGGCUGGCCCUAGAGCAGGUGAAAUUGACCUUUAUUGAUUAUUGCUGUGACUUUACAUUUAUACCAUCAUCAUAAAGUAGAUCAUUGAAGAAGUUUACAUUUCCAUAGACCUUGAAAAAGAAAAUAGACAAUCAUUUGCCAAUGUGACGUAGACUAAUGGGCUUUAAACUUUCCUUUCUUUAUUUUUUUUCCCUAAAGAUUGGCCCUGAGCUAACAUCUGUCGCCAAUCUUUUGUUUUUUUUCCUUCUUCUUCUUCUCCUCAAAGCCCCCCAGUACAUAGUUGUAUAUCUUCUAGUUGCAGGUCCCUCUAGUUGUGCUAUGUGGGACGCUGCCUCAGCACAGCUUGAUGAGCGGUGCUAGGUCCACCCUCAGGAUCUGAACUGGUGAAACCCUGGGCUGCCAAAGCUGAGUGUGUGAAUUUAACCACAGGGCCACAGGGCCAGCACCUUGAAACUUUUCUGAUCAGGCGUUUGGGAAUCUCCAGGACCACACUCGCUUCUGACAACAACUGCAAGUUCAGGUGGUCCCCAAGAUCACUCCUAGGUUUGACAAUUCCCUAGAAGGACUCACAGAACUCACUGAAAGCUGUUAUACUCAGUUAUGGUUCACGACAGUGAAAGAUAUAGAUUAAAAUCAGCCAAGGGAAAGGCGUACAGGGCAGAGUCCAGGAGAGUUCCAUGGAUGAAGCUUCCAAGUGUCCUCUCCCUGUGGAGUUACGAAUGGCAGAAACUUCUGGCAACAACGUGACAUUGCACAUGGAGUAGUGCCAGCUAGGGAAGGCUUGGUGUCCAGAGUUUUUACUGGAGCUUGGUCACAACCUUUAGUGUCCAGCCUCUCUGAGGGUCAAGCUGAUACUACUUGGCCCAAAGCCCCCAGCAUAAAUCACAUUGUUAAACUAUCCAGUGUAUCCCAAGGUCCCCAGAAAAACAAGGACAGUCUUAUCAGGCAGGACAUUCCAG